CGCCUUUGCCCUUCCUGGGCGUUUCCUCCCUAUUGAACUGCCGCGCCUCCGGGCGCGGCUUUUUUUCGCCCGCA
RNAcentral lists this small RNA (74 nucleotides) under Phenylobacterium zucineum HLK1. RNAcentral describes it as "Makes More Granules Regulator RNA (mmgR)". It matches the Rfam family "Makes More Granules Regulator RNA (mmgR)". From Rfam's summary of the family: SuhB later renamed mmgR (makes more granules regulator) was a putative non-coding RNA found multiple times in the Agrobacterium tumefaciens genome and related alpha-proteobacteria. Other non-coding RNAs uncovered in the same analysis include: speF, ybhL, metA, and serC. Lineage: Bacteria; Pseudomonadati; Pseudomonadota; Alphaproteobacteria; Caulobacterales; Caulobacteraceae. The record is from Rfam by way of RNAcentral.